Molecule: transfer RNA, 85 nt
Organism: Tortispora caseinolytica NRRL Y-17796
Lineage: Eukaryota; Fungi; Ascomycota; Trigonopsidomycetes; Trigonopsidales; Trigonopsidaceae
Rfam family: tRNA
About the family: Transfer RNA (tRNA) molecules are approximately 80 nucleotides in length.
Source: Rfam
GCCUCCUUGGCCCAGUGGUAAGGCGUCGCACUCGUACGAAUUUAAGCCUAUGCGAAGAUCGAUGGUUCGAAUCCGUCAGGAGGCA